Molecule: long non-coding RNA, 1096 nt
Organism: Lolium rigidum
Lineage: Eukaryota; Viridiplantae; Streptophyta; Magnoliopsida; Poales; Poaceae
Exons: 8
Source: RefSeq, a predicted model, not a curated record
GUCGACGGCCGGAAGGCAUGGUGGUGGCCUGGCCGGGCUGCUGCAGCCGGCGACCACUGGACCCGCUGCCCGAUCUGGACGCCACCCCCCUCCCCGUCCUGCUGCACCUCCACUACACGUGGUGGCUCCAACUUCUCACGCUGCCUAUAGGAACCUGGGGUUUCUGGCUGGGCAUCGACAUUGGCACCGGAUGCAUCCCUUAAGUCAGCCUUCCACUUGUCUCUUGUGCCCAAGUAGACCUGUGGUGACCUUGCUUGGCAGCGAAUGAGGGGCGCUGAUGUGGCGUCGCCAGAGAGGACAACGCUGUCCUGUCCUCCCUUCCUGCUCAGCACCAACUAUGACGAUGAGCUACCCGUGGCAGCGGCUUCUCGCGCUACCUAUAGAAACCUGGGCUUUCUGGCUGGACAUCCACAUUGGUGGCAGAUGCACCCCUGGAGCCAGCCUUCCACUUUUCUCUCACGCUGAAGUAGACUGGUCGUGACCUUGCUUUGCAUCGGACGAGGGGCGAUGUGGGUGAUGCCAGUGUCCCGUCCUUGCAUCCUGCUCAGCAUCAACUAUGGUGAUGAGUGCAGUUGAGCUUUUCAGUGAAAAUCUCAGUGGCUGCCAUUGCUCUGGCCAUUAGAGGUCAAGAAUCAAAAAACUCCACGAAGCGCUCCAAGUUAUUGAUAUCAUACCGAGGCAACAUUCUGCAAAACAGGGCAUCCUUUUGGUUCGUUAGUCAUCUUUCCACAACAAUCUUGCUAGCUUAGUUGACUUGGGCGGUGGUGUGAUGGGGGUGCCGAAGAUUUCACUCAAGUUUCUGUGGUACACAGAGUGGCCUCUCCUUGAACGUCGGAUCUCCCUAGUUUGAUUAGCAGUUUCAGUAAAGGAAGUCAAAUAUAAUGAAUGAGAGGGAGAUCCGCUCUGGGAGACAUCGCCGGGGCUGCAUAGAGGUUUUAGAAGCCUGUGAGCAUAGGACAUUGCUAUCCCUAUUGAUAGCUUCUUCCCAUUCUCUUCUAGUUGCAUUUCGACUACUUCCUGCUUUGCCUUCUCCCUCACUUCAUUGUUUUGGGAGAAGAGAAUCAUCAGGAGUAUCCUCAUGCUGCUAUUUCGAAGG